This 841-nucleotide ribosomal RNA is filed under the name uncultured archaeon. RNAcentral describes it as "bacterial SSU rRNA". It matches the Rfam family "Archaeal small subunit ribosomal RNA", at positions 32 to 861 of the family's 1478-position model. The record is from RNAcentral.
UUCCGGGCGGAUAAGCCUGCAAGUCGUAUGGGAUACCUAAAGUUCCCAUGGCGCACUGCUCAGUAACACAUGAUUAACUUACCCUAUGGAGAAAAAUAACCUCGGGAAACUGAGGAUAAUAUUUCAUAGUUGAGAAGGCUUGGAAAAGUUUUUCAAUCAAAUGGAUAAGAAAAAUGGUUCUUAUCUGCCAUAGGAUAGGAUCGUGGUCGAUUAUGGUUGUUGGCGAGGUAAUGGCUCACCAAGCCGAUAAUCGAUAGGGGCCGUGAGAGCGGGAGCCCCGAGAUGGGUACUGAGACAACGACCCAGGCCUUACGAGGCGCAGCAGGCGCGAAACCUCCGCAAUACACGCAAGUGUGACGGGGUCACCCAAAGUGUCCUUUAUAGGACUGUGAUAGGUGGGUAAUAUCCCCUAUCAGAAAGGAGAGGGCAAGGCUGGUGCCAGCCGCCGCGGUAAAACCAGCUCUUCAAGUGGUCGGGAUCAUUAUUGGGCUUAAAGUGUCCGUAGCCGGUUUAGUAAGUUCCUGGUAAAAUCGGAUAGCUUAACUAUUCGUAUGCUAGGAAUACUGCUAUACUAGAGGGCGGGAGAGGUCUGAGGUACUACUAGGGUAGGGGUGAAAUCUUAUAAUCCUUUUAGGACCACCAGUGGCGAAGGCGUCAGACUGGAACGCGCCUGACGGUGAGGGACGAAAGCUAGGGGAGCGAACCGGAUUAGAUACCCGGGUAGUCCUAGCCGUAAACGAUGCAUACUAGGUGAUGGCACGGCCAUGAGCCGCGUCAGUGCCGUAGGGAAACCGUUAAGUGUGCCGCCUGGGAAGUACGGUCGCAAGGCUGAAACUUAAAG